This 1055-nucleotide ribosomal RNA is filed under the name Salmonella enterica subsp. enterica. Its description in RNAcentral is "partial 23S ribosomal RNA". It matches the Rfam family "Bacterial large subunit ribosomal RNA", at positions 114 to 1211 of the family's 2925-position model. The record is from RNAcentral. Lineage: Bacteria; Pseudomonadati; Pseudomonadota; Gammaproteobacteria; Enterobacterales; Enterobacteriaceae. RNAcentral also lists the same sequence under 1 other name.
CCGAAUGGGGAAACCCAGUGUGAUUCGUCACACUAUCAUUAACUGAAUCCAUAGGUUAAUGAGGCGAACCGGGGGAACUGAAACAUCUAAGUACCCCGAGGAAAAGAAAUCAACCGAGAUUCCCCCAGUAGCGGCGAGCGAACGGGGAGGAGCCCAGAGCCUGAAUCAGCAUGUGUGUUAGUGGAAGCGUCUGGAAAGGCGCGCGAUACAGGGUGACAGCCCCGUACACAAAAGCGCAUGUGCUGUGAGCUCGAUGAGUAGGGCGGGACACGUGGUAUCCUGUCUGAAUAUGGGGGGACCAUCCUCCAAGGCUAAAUACUCCUGACUGACCGAUAGUGAACCAGUACCGUGAGGGAAAGGCGAAAAGAACCCCGGCGAGGGGAGUGAAAAAGAACCUGAAACCGUGUACGUACAAGCAGUGGGAGCACCCUUCGGGGUGUGACUGCGUACCUUUUGUAUAAUGGGUCAGCGACUUAUAUUCUGUAGCAAGGUUAACCGUAUAGGGGAGCCGGAGGGAAACCGAGUCUUAAUUGGGCGUUAAGUUGCAGGGUAUAGACCCGAAACCCGGUGAUCUAGCCAUGGGCAGGUUGAAGGUUGGGUAACACUAACUGGAGGACCGAACCGACUAAUGUUGAAAAAUUAGCGGAUGACCUGUGGCUGGGGGUGAAAGGCCAAUCAAACCGGGAGAUAGCUGGUUCUCCCCGAAAGCUAUUUAGGUAGCGCCUCGUGAAUUCAUCUCCGGGGGUAGAGCACUGUUUCGGCUAGGGGGCCAUCCCGGCUUACCAACCCGAUGCAAACUGCGAAUACCGGAGAAUGUUAUCACGGGAGACACACGGCGGGUGCUAACGUCCGUCGUGAAGAGGGAAACAACCCAGACCGCCAGCUAAGGUCCCAAAGUCAUGGUUAAGUGGGAAACGAUGUGGGAAGGCCCAGACAGCCAGGAUGUUGGCUUAGAAGCAGCCAUCAUUUAAAGAAAGCGUAAUAGCUCACUGGUCGAGUCGGCCUGCGCGGAAGAUGUAACGGGGCUAAACCAUGCACCGAAGCUGCGGCAGCGA